GGUCUUGUGGUCUAGUGGUAUGAUUCUCGCUUAGGGUUUUCAAACUCCUGAGUUCACAUUUGCGAGAGGCCCCGCGUUCGAAUCGCGGCAAGACCC
RNAcentral lists this transfer RNA (96 nucleotides) under Coccidioides immitis. RNAcentral's name for it is "tRNA-Pro". Lineage: Eukaryota; Fungi; Ascomycota; Eurotiomycetes; Onygenales; Onygenaceae. The record is from RNAcentral. RNAcentral also lists the same sequence under 4 other names.